UAAAAAAUAAGCUAACACUAAGCUAUUGAACUCAUAAUUCAAUUAUAAAGGUUAUCUUUAAUCCUUUUUUUUUAU
This 75-nucleotide transfer RNA is filed under the name Macrostemum radiatum. Its description in RNAcentral is "tRNA-Met". Lineage: Eukaryota; Metazoa; Arthropoda; Insecta; Trichoptera; Hydropsychidae. The record is from RNAcentral.